This 498-nucleotide ribosomal RNA is filed under the name uncultured bacterium. RNAcentral's name for it is "partial 16S ribosomal RNA". It matches the Rfam family "Bacterial small subunit ribosomal RNA", at positions 30 to 523 of the family's 1533-position model. The record is from RNAcentral.
AUUGAACGCUGGCGGCAUGCCUUACACAUGCAAGUCGAACGGUAACGGGCCUUCGGGUGCCGACGAGUGGCGAACGGGUGAGUAAUGUAUCGGAACGUACCUUUCAGUGGGGGAUAACGUAGCGAAAGUUACGCUAAUACCGCAUAUUCUGUGAGCAGGAAAGCGGGGGAUCGCAAGACCUUGCGCUGAUUGAGCGGCCGAUAUCAGAUUAGCUAGUUGGUGAGGCAAAGGCUCACCAAGGCGACGAUCUGUAGCGGGUCUGAGAGGAUGAUCCGCCACACUGGAACUGAGACACGGUCCAGACUCCUACGGGAGGCAGCAGUGGGGAAUUUUGGACAAUGGGGGCAACCCUGAUCCAGCCAUGCCGCGGGAGUGAAGAAGGCCUUCGGGUUGUAAAGCUCUUUCGGCCGGGAAGAAAUCGUAUGGGUUAAUACCCUGUGCGGAUGACGGUACCGGACUAAGAAGCACCGGCUAACUACGUGCCAGCAGCCGCAGUAA